This 1717-nucleotide long non-coding RNA is filed under the name Manihot esculenta (cassava). Its description in RNAcentral is "long non-coding RNA (MESC_LNC008945)". The record is from RNAcentral. Lineage: Eukaryota; Viridiplantae; Streptophyta; Magnoliopsida; Malpighiales; Euphorbiaceae.
CGUUGCUUAUCAAAUGCAUCCCACAAGUACCAUUACCACAAUUCAGCAAACUUGAAUAUCCAUGGCUGGGAUCAGCAUUAUUGUUCCCCGUCAAUUGGUAAUGAUGAUCCAAGGAAGUGUUUUCAAUGCAUACAUUUUCUUUGUUGCUGAUGAUCUGUGUACUGCCCCCGCUGUUCGUUUCUUCCACACCAGAAGAAGGAGCUGCAACAGUUGAAUUAUUAUUAUUACUCAUAAGGCCUGAUGUUUUGCGAUUGGCUUUAGAUGAAGAAGCUUUUUGAUGAUCAAAAGAUUCAAGGUUAAGCGGCUUGUGGGUUCUUGGAUCAAUUCCUUGGCUUAUCAGCUUCUUGCUGAGGUGAGUGUUCCAGUAAUUCUUGAUCUCAUUAUCUGUACGCCCUGGAAUUCUCCCAGCUAUCAGUGACCACCUAGAUCAUACAAACAUAAAAUAUCAGUGCAAACUAAGUCAUAUUAGACAUUUCGAACGAAAAUUAUGCAUUAUCAAAUCCAGAAGAAUGCUAAGUAGUUAAGUUCUUGAGCUUCAUAUCAUAGGAAAAACCCAGAUACAUUGUUUACUAGAGAAGAUUAGUUUUAGCUAAACUGGAAAGAAACCCAGAUCGUUCCUGACCUAGGUUUCUCUAGUGAGAUAGAGAUCACGAAGAUUAAACCCUGGAAGAAAAGGAAAACCAGCACUAGAACUCACUGGACUGAGCUGAUGUAAUGACAAAAUGCAAAAAACCAAACCCUAAAAGCCCAACACAGAAAAUCUAAAACAAAGCCAGAUACAAAGACAAAGUAAUCCAAACAUAAUUUUUAUUCAUUCAUUCACAUAUAUAUACCUAUUUCCUAGAAGGCGAUGCAGUCGAAGAAUGAGAUCUUCUUCAUCAGGAGCGAUCUGGCCGCGUUUUACACAGGGACGCAGGUAGUUCAUCCAUCGGAGACGGCAACUCUUACCACAGCGGAGAAGUCCAGCUCUUUUAGGCAAGGUACGCCAGCGACCUUCCCCUUCUUUUUUGAUGUAGUUGACAAGAAGCUCAUCCUCUUCAGGUGUCCAUGGCCCUCUCUUUAACCCUACCUUGCUGCAACACGGCGUCUUCGCUGGUUGUGGUCCUUCUCCUGCAGACGCAGAGGGUGAUGGGUUUCUCAUCUUAUUCUUCUUCUUCUUUCUCUGGACUAUGAAUUCAAACAAAUCUAUAUAUGUUUCGCUGGUGAAUGAGAUUGAGAUUUGAUCUUUUUAUGGCUUUUGGAGAAAAGAUGUUCGAUGAAGAGAUGGUUCAAUUUUUUAAGGGCUUCUCGCACCUUUUGUUUUUUUUGUAAUAAAAGAUUAUUGUUCAGAUAUAUGCCCACGAGCAGUAACAGGGAAUGAAGAACACGCGCCUAAAAAGUUUGGUGGCCAUUUUUGAUGGGCUAGUGACUUUAUCCAAAUGACCAGCUUGUCACUUGAAUGGCUCUGUGCUUAAUCUGAAUCGUCACCAUGAGCGUCAUCUUCAUUGUCGUCUGCCAGCGGGGAGACACGGUGUUCCGUGUUAAUUAAAGACCAAAGCAAACAUUUCCUUUUUAUGACAAUUUAAUAAAAUAUAUAUUAAAUUAUAAAUUUUGUGAAAUUUUAUUUAUAUUUUAAUAAUGCCUAUAUGAUAUAUUAUUAUCAAAUUUUAAUUCAAUAACUGUAAUUGUAUUUAAGAUUGUGUUUAAAUUUAAAAAUAUUACUGCUAUUCAGUGAAAA